AUAGAUUGUUUUUUUUUUUUUUUUUGAGAGAUAGAUAGCACACUACCCGUUUCGUUUAUUUCACUUAAAAAUAAAUUUAGCUGAAAAUGUGAAUAAAUUAGGAUUCGAACUUAGGUCUUGAAUACCAAUCACCAAGCCCUUUGCGACUUGCUCUAGGGAGUGUCGGUAACAUCGAUAGAUUGUUGGAAAAGCUUUUUUUAUUUUGG
This 206-nucleotide long non-coding RNA is filed under the name Ananas comosus (pineapple). RNAcentral's name for it is "long non-coding RNA (ACOM_LNC015833)". Lineage: Eukaryota; Viridiplantae; Streptophyta; Magnoliopsida; Poales; Bromeliaceae. The record is from RNAcentral.